RNAcentral lists this ribosomal RNA (253 nucleotides) under uncultured bacterium. RNAcentral's name for it is "partial 16S ribosomal RNA". It matches the Rfam family "Bacterial small subunit ribosomal RNA", at positions 524 to 776 of the family's 1533-position model. The record is from RNAcentral.
UACGUAGGGGGCAAGCGUUGUCCGGAUUUAUUGGGCGUAAAGAGCGUGUAGGCGGCCAGGUAGGUCCGCUGUGAAAACUCGAGGCUCAACCUCGAGAUGUCGGCGGAAACCAUCUGGCUAGAGUCCGGAAGAGGAGAGUGGAAUUCCUGGUGUAGCGGUGAAAUGCGCAGAUAUCAGGAAGAACACCCGUGGCGAAAGCGGCUCUCUGGAACGGUACUGACGCUGAGACGCGAAAGCGUGGGGAGCGAACAGG